GGUCGAGUAGUCUCCCCACAUGGUGUAAGGCUGGUACGGGGGUGUUAUGGAUGGCUCUGGGCUGGGAUUUCUGCAUUCAUGAUAUAUUUGUUUUGUAUCUGCUAUGGGCCUAUUGGUUUCAUUCUGAUUUCUGUACUGGGCCAAGGCCCAGAUAAGUCUGACUUUGAGGUUUGAUCUGUUUUGGGCUAUGGUUGGGUUAUGUUACACACUGAGUUUGCCG
Molecule: long non-coding RNA, 220 nt
Filed under: Gossypium barbadense (sea-island cotton)
Lineage: Eukaryota; Viridiplantae; Streptophyta; Magnoliopsida; Malvales; Malvaceae
Description: long non-coding RNA (GBAR_LNC003135)
Source: RNAcentral